AAGGCUGCCGAUAAUCUUCAGGCUCUUUGAUAGGGCAAUGAUAUUGUCUCCGGUCUUUGACCACGGAUGUACUGGCAUUGCUCGUUGAGACAAUUGGAAGGUCGGGUCUGCCCGACCUUUUUUAUU
RNAcentral lists this small RNA (126 nucleotides) under Brucella anthropi. RNAcentral's name for it is "Ochrobactrum anthropi sRNA ar35". It matches the Rfam family "Alphaproteobacterial sRNA ar35". The record is from RNAcentral. Lineage: Bacteria; Pseudomonadati; Pseudomonadota; Alphaproteobacteria; Hyphomicrobiales; Brucellaceae.